UACGUAGGUGGCGAGCGUUGUCCGGAUUUACUGGGUGUAAAGGGCGCGUAGGCGGGGCGGCAAGUCCGAUGUGAAAUCCCGCGGCUCAACCGUGGAACCGCAUCGGAAACUGUCGUCCUUGAGUAUCGGAGGGGAAAGCGGAAUUCCUAGUGUAGCGGUGAAAUGCGUAGAUAUUAGGAGGAACACCGGUGGCGAAGGCGGCUUUCUGGCCGAAAACUGACGCUGAGGCGCGAAAGCGUGGGGAGCAAACAGGAUUAGAUACC
This 263-nucleotide ribosomal RNA is filed under the name uncultured bacterium. RNAcentral's name for it is "partial 16S ribosomal RNA". It matches the Rfam family "Bacterial small subunit ribosomal RNA", at positions 524 to 786 of the family's 1533-position model. The record is from RNAcentral.